GCAGGAACCCUAGCCGCCACGGUGGCUAGCGCGUCUCCCAUGUCUCCUCUCGUUUGUCUGCCCACUACCCCGUGUAUCCGCGCGCGCGGCUUCCGGCUCGGGCUAUACCGUGCUGUUCCACAUCGAGUCCUCGACUACCUCGACUGACGCCAGGCGGUUCAGUAAGGCCCUCCUCCUUCGAAUAUUGUUUGUACAAUGACGAGAUAAUGGGAACUGUCCCGGAUCAUACAAAUCGAGGACUUCUUUCAUUUUUCUUAUAGAUUUGUUCAGCAUAUAUUUGACAAAUUUGCCCUAUUUCCUAAAGAUUAUAUAACACAGUAAGUUUCAUGGAGGAAGUUCACAUUCCAAUGGGUUUUAUCUACAGGUUGCAGAGACAACAACGCUUUUGUGGUUACAGGCUCAAAAUUCCCACCUGUAAGAUCCCCUGUGCUAUUACUAUAUCUGAUACCUUUAUGUUGCACCAGAGAUCUUCUCUAAUAGCAGUCAAUUACAACAAUUUGCAGUGAGUCAUAAAUGUAACAUCUAGAAGCAUAUUGUCACCCCAGUUUUAGAUGUUCAUAGGCGGACUUUUUUCUUCUGUGGUUGAGCGAUUCACCAUUUGUCUGUACUCUGUACCUGUUCAUUUAGGAAUAUUUUUUUUACCUUUUCAUUAAUAGUUCUUUCUUGUGAUGCAUUAGGCUCUAAUUUUCUUGAUUCUACGUGCGUGGAUAAUUGUCCAGUAUUUUUGUGAGGAGGAUCUUGGUAGAUUAGUUAAAUAAGUCGACAAUAUCUCCAAAUAUCCUAGUUAAUAGCCUAUGACCAUGUCAUCAAAGAACAUUUCUUCAAGUAUCAGUUAAUAGGCGAGUACUAUUAUCUAUAACGUCAUGAUUUUCAAGAGAAAAAAAAUCUCAUUAGCGUUAUCAAUCCUUACUGAUUUCUGUUACACGCUUCUGUAGUACUAUAGGAAUAAGCCCACAUGCAUCUCUCUGUCCUAACAUUUCUUUUUAUUGUAUAAUCUUUAGUUUCAUCUUCCCUCGCAGGUUCUGAAGUUGACUAUGUGCUUCAGCCAACACGUGUUUGUUUGUUCUUUAUCUUAACAGGUAUAUCUUCUGGACUUGUGCAUACUGCAAUUAGGAGAUAUAAAAGUCAACACAUACAUAAGAGGCCCUAAAAAGAAUUUGAAGCCUCUGGGAAAUUGAAAUAUUCAACUAUGUAUAAUCAGUAUUAUUGGUUACCUAUUGUCAUUUAGUUGGCUCCAGAAUUCAUAUCAUUGUUAAUAUAUAUAAUGUUUGGAUAAUCAUUACUAUAGUAAAUACAUGUUGAUGGUUCAAAAUGAAUAGCCCCAUCUAAUUUUUCAAAGAUCUCGGUGUUUUACUAUGCAGUUUCUGAUCUGAACAAGUGGUGGAUAUUCAGAACUUGUGCAAGUCGCAACUGAGAGAAUAGAAUGUUGUCAGUUUAUAGAAAUGUUCAAGACUUCAAGUCUCUGUGUUUGUACUUCCUAGCAUGGUGAUGUCCCUUCUGCUGGUGUUUAUUAUGAUGAUUCAUAUAGUAAGUUGAUGCCAGAUGCAAAAAAUAAAAUAGUACAUAGAUAUAGGUUGCAUCUGCAUUUUUAUUAAUAAACUCCUGUUGAAAAGGUUUUGUAUUCACAUUAUUAAUUAGCCCCACAUCUAUAUGUAAAUCAGUGUCUUGGUAAGUCAUAUUUGUGAGCAUGUAUCACAAUACCUAAUUUAGCCUGGUGCAAAUUAUUUUCUUUUAACUACAGUAUUUUUGAUUUGUUGAAAUCUUGCGUCUACUUUUAUUUUGUGGAGAACUCAGAUCUUUCUUAGCAAACGAAAGAUGUGUGGUAUUUCAUUACAUGAUUUUUUUCCCAAGGGGGUACCUCGUGUCUUGCUUAGUAUGCUUUUGAGGUUUAUUUUACUCAGUCGGCAUAUAGCAUUUUUUUCAUAAGAAAACAAGGAUAAAAAGUGAUUGUCAGAUGUAGGCUAGUACUCUCCUUUUCUUUGGCUCCUCCAUGACUUUCUGCUUUGUUGAUAUUCUCUAUCAUAGGUUACUAAUCUCAUUCCUUUGUUGUUCUAGGCUGCAAAGAUAUAUUCAAGAUGCACGGACGUUGAUUGCAAGGUCAAGAAUGGCAAUUUUACUAGAUAAUUAGAAUGUCAUUUUGAAGUGUAAUGUUUCAAACAGUAAGCUGACUGAAUGAUCAAGAAUUAGUCUAGUACUAGAUGGUUUCAGAUAUGUAAUGCUUGUAUCGUGUUCUUUGUAAUGCAAUACAUCAUGUUUAAUAUAUUAUGGGGAUUCCUGCUUAUUAUAUUGUCGCUCCUAUCCAUCGGCAUUGGAAUAAUAAUUUUGGUUCGCAGUAUAAAAUACCAUUAAGUUGUUC
This 2356-nucleotide long non-coding RNA is filed under the name Triticum aestivum (bread wheat). RNAcentral describes it as "long non-coding RNA (TAES_LNC027711)". The record is from RNAcentral. Lineage: Eukaryota; Viridiplantae; Streptophyta; Magnoliopsida; Poales; Poaceae.